RNAcentral lists this ribosomal RNA (329 nucleotides) under Escherichia coli. RNAcentral's name for it is "partial 23S ribosomal RNA". It matches the Rfam family "Bacterial large subunit ribosomal RNA", at positions 2387 to 2715 of the family's 2925-position model. Lineage: Bacteria; Pseudomonadati; Pseudomonadota; Gammaproteobacteria; Enterobacterales; Enterobacteriaceae. The record is from RNAcentral.
GCGCGAGCAGGUGCGAAAGCAGGUCAUAGUGAUCCGGUGGUUCUGAAUGGAAGGGCCAUCGCUCAACGGAUAAAAGGUACUCCGGGGAUAACAGGCUGAUACCGCCCAAGAGUUCAUAUCGACGGCGGUGUUUGGCACCUCGAUGUCGGCUCAUCACAUCCUGGGGCUGAAGUAGGUCCCAAGGGUAUGGCUGUUCGCCAUUUAAAGUGGUACGCGAGCUGGGUUUAGAACGUCGUGAGACAGUUCGGUCCCUAUCUGCCGUGGGCGCUGGAGAACUGAGGGGGGCUGCUCCUAGUACGAGAGGACCGGAGUGGACGCAUCACUGGUGU